GGCUCUGGCAUCGAUGAAGAACGCAGCGAAAUGCGAUAAGUAAUGUGAAUUGCAGAAUUCAGUGAAUCAUCGAAUCUUUGAACGCACAUUGCGCCCGCCAGUAUUCUGGCGGGCAUGCCUGUUCGAGCGUCAUUA
RNAcentral lists this ribosomal RNA (135 nucleotides) under Fusarium solani. RNAcentral's name for it is "partial 5.8S ribosomal RNA". It matches the Rfam family "5.8S ribosomal RNA", at positions 23 to 154 of the family's 154-position model. Rfam says of the family: 5.8S ribosomal RNA (5.8S rRNA) is a component of the large subunit of the eukaryotic ribosome. It is transcribed by RNA polymerase I as part of the 45S precursor that also contains 18S and 28S rRNA. Lineage: Eukaryota; Fungi; Ascomycota; Sordariomycetes; Hypocreales; Nectriaceae. The record is from RNAcentral.